GCUCAUCGCAUGGUCUUCUGGGAAAGCCUUUGCGGCAUGGGAUGGGGUCGCGUCCUAUCAGCUUGAUGGCGGGGUAACGGCCCACCAUGGCUUCGACGGGUAGCCGGCCUGAGAGGGCGACCGGCCACAUUGGGACUGAGAUACGGCCCAGACUCCUACGGGAGGCAGCAGUGGGGAAUAUUGCACAAUGGGCGCAAGCCUGAUGCAGCGACGCCGCGUGAGGGAUGGAGGCCUUCGGGUUGUAAACCUCUUUUGUUAGGGAGCAAGGCAUUUUGUGUUGAGUGUACCUUUCGAAUAAGCACCGGCUAACUACGUGCCAGCAGCCGCGGUAAUACGUAGGGUGCAAGCGUUAUCCGGAAUUAUUGGGCGUAAAGGGCUCGUAGGCGGUUCGUCGCGUCCGGUGUGAAAGUCCAUCGCUUAACGGUGGAUCCGCGCCGGGUACGGGCGGGCUUGAGUGCGGUAGGGGAGACUGGAAUUCCCGGUGUAACGGUGGAAUGUGUAGAUA
This 505-nucleotide ribosomal RNA is filed under the name Bifidobacterium breve. RNAcentral describes it as "bacterial SSU rRNA". It matches the Rfam family "Bacterial small subunit ribosomal RNA", at positions 181 to 696 of the family's 1533-position model. Lineage: Bacteria; Bacillati; Actinomycetota; Actinomycetes; Bifidobacteriales; Bifidobacteriaceae. The record is from RNAcentral.